This is a small nuclear RNA of Peromyscus californicus insignis, 109 nucleotides long. NCBI's taxonomy places the organism in Eukaryota, Metazoa, Chordata, Mammalia, Rodentia, Cricetidae. The record is from RefSeq and is a predicted model, not a curated record.
UUCGGCAGCACAUAUACUUAAAAAAAAAAAAAAAUGGAACGAUACAGAGAAGAUUAGCAUGGCUCCUGUGCAAGGAUGACACACAAUUUUUUGAACUCACUUCAUAACU